This 460-nucleotide ribosomal RNA is filed under the name uncultured bacterium. RNAcentral describes it as "partial 16S ribosomal RNA". It matches the Rfam family "Bacterial small subunit ribosomal RNA", at positions 338 to 795 of the family's 1533-position model. The record is from RNAcentral.
CCUACGGGUGGCAGCAGUGAGGAAUAUUGGUCAAUGGACGAGAGUCUGAACCAGCCAAGUAGCGUGAAGGAUGACUGCCCUAUGGGUUGUAAACUUCUUUUAUACAGGAAUAAAACGAGGCACGUGUGCCUUUUUGCAUGUACUUUAUGAAUAAGGAUCGGCUAACUCCGUGCCAGCAGCCGCGGUAAUACGGAGGAUCCGAGCGUUAUCCGGAUUUAUUGGGUUUAAAGGGAGCGUAGAUGGGUUGUUAAGUCAGUUGUGAAAGGUUGCGGCUCAACCGUAAAAUUGCAAUUGAUACUGGCAGUCUUGAGUACAGUUGAGGUAAGCGGAAUUCGUGGUGUAGCGGUGAAAUGCUUAGAUAUCACGAAGAACCCCGAUUGCGAAGGCAGCUUACUAAACUGUGACUGACAUUGAUGCUCGAAAGUGUGGGUAUCAAACAGGAUUAGAUACCCGAGUAGUC